This 732-nucleotide ribosomal RNA is filed under the name uncultured Bacteroidales bacterium. RNAcentral's name for it is "bacterial SSU rRNA". It matches the Rfam family "Bacterial small subunit ribosomal RNA", at positions 577 to 1314 of the family's 1533-position model. Lineage: Bacteria; Pseudomonadati; Bacteroidota; Bacteroidia; Bacteroidales. The record is from RNAcentral.
GGAAUAAUAAGUCAGUUGUGAAAGUUUGCGGCUCAACCGUAAAAUUGCAGUUGAUACUGUUAUUCUUGAGUGUACAUAAGGUAGGCGGAAUUCGUGGUGUAGCGGUGAAAUGCUUAGAUAUCACGAAGAACUCCAAUUGCGAAGGCAGCUUACCGGGGCACAACUGACGCUGAGGCACGAAAGUGUGGGUAUCAAACAGGAUUAGAUACCCUGGUAGUCCACACAGUAAACGAUGAAUACUCGCUGUUUGCGAUAUACCGCAAGCGGCCAAGCGAAAGCAUUAAGUAUUCCACCUGGGGAGUACGCCGGCAACGGUGAAACUCAAAGGAAUUGACGGGGGCCCGCACAAGCGGAGGAACAUGUGGUUUAAUUCGAUGAUACGCGAGGAACCUUACCCAGGCUUAGAUUGCAGAUGAAUAUAGUGGAAACAUUAUAGCCUUUAUGGCAUCUGUGAAGGUGCUGCAUGGUUGUCGUCAGCUCGUGCCGUGAGGUGUCGGCUUAAGUGCCAUAACGAGCGCAACCCUUAUUGAUAGUUACUAACAGGUUAAGCUGAGGACUCUAUCGAGACUGCCGUCGUAAGAUGCGAGGAAGGUGGGGAUGACGUCAAAUCAGCACGGCCCUUACGUCUGGGGCUACACACGUGUUACAAUGGGGGGUACAGAAGGUCGCUACCUGGCAACAGGAUGCUAAUCCCAAAAGCCUCUCUCAGUUCGGAUUGGAGUCUGCAACCCG